This 314-nucleotide ribosomal RNA is filed under the name uncultured bacterium. RNAcentral describes it as "partial 16S ribosomal RNA". It matches the Rfam family "Bacterial small subunit ribosomal RNA", at positions 499 to 807 of the family's 1533-position model. The record is from RNAcentral.
UUAUAAGAGACAGCAGCCGCCGCGGGAAUACAGAGGGUGCGAGCGUUAAUCGGAUUUACUGGGCGUAAAGCGUGCGUAGGCGGCUUCUUAAGUCGGAUGUGAAAUCCCUGAGCUUAACUUAGGAAUUGCAUUCGAUACUGGGAAGCUAGAGUAUGGGAGAGGAUGGUAGAAUUCCAGGUGUAGCGGUGAAAUGCGUAGAGAUCUGGAGGAAUACCGAUGGCGAAGGCAGCCAUCUGGCCUAAUACUGACGCUGAGGUACGAAAGCAUGGGGAGCAAACAGGAUUAGAUACCCCCGUAGUCCCUGUCUCUUAUAC